GAUGAACGCUGGCGGCGUGCCUAAUACAUGCAAGUCGAGCGAACGGACGAGAGGCUUGCUUCUCUGAUGUUAGCGGCGGACGGGUGAGUAACACGUGGAUAACCUACCUAUAAGACUGGGAUAACUUCGGGAAACCGGAGCUAAUACCGGAUGAUAUUUUGAACCGCAUGGUUCAAAAGUGAAAGGCGGUCUUGCUGUCACUUAUAGAUGGAUCCGCGCUGCAUUAGCUAGUUGGUAAGGUAACGGCUUACCAAGGCAACGAUGCAUAGCCGACCUGAGAGGGUGAUCGGCCACACUGGAACUGAGACACGGUCCAGACUCCUACGGGAGGCAGCAGUAGGGAAUCUUCCGCAAUGGGCGAAAGCCUGACGGAGCAACGCCGCGUGAGUGAUGAAGGUCUUCGGAUCGUAAAACUCUGUUAUUAGGGAAGAACAUAUGUGUAAGUAACUGUGCACAUCUUGACGGUACCUAAUCAGAAAGCCACGGCUAACUACGUG
This 497-nucleotide ribosomal RNA is filed under the name uncultured bacterium. Its description in RNAcentral is "partial 16S ribosomal RNA". It matches the Rfam family "Bacterial small subunit ribosomal RNA", at positions 28 to 507 of the family's 1533-position model. The record is from RNAcentral.